Vicia villosa (hairy vetch) is the source of this 218-nucleotide long non-coding RNA. RefSeq lists it as uncharacterized. Lineage: Eukaryota; Viridiplantae; Streptophyta; Magnoliopsida; Fabales; Fabaceae. The record is from RefSeq and is a predicted model, not a curated record. The transcript has 3 exons.
CAGUUUCCUUAGCUGGUUUUGUGACUGCGAGCAGAAAGACGAUGAUCUGCUUGACAUUCAUGAUGAGGUUGCAGAAUUAAUCAAGGAUGAUUUAUGGUCAAACCCACUUAUUUAUUUCAACAAUGAGGAGCUUGAUGAAGAGGAUGGCAACGAUGAAGCUGGUGAUGAGGUAAAUGAAGUUCCAUUUUUCUUGGAAAAAAUAGAGGUGAUUAACAAAA